GACGAACGCUGGCGGCGUGCUUAACACAUGCAAGUCGAACGGAAAGGCCCUGCUUUUUUGGGGUGCUCGAGUGGCGAACGGGUGAGUAACACGUGAGUAACCUGCCCUUGACUUUGGGAUAACUUCAGGAAACUGGGGCUAAUACCGGAUCGGAGCUCCCGCUGCAUGGUGGGGGUUGGAAAGUUUCGGCGGUUGGGGAUGGACUCGCGGCUUAUCAGCUUGUUGGUGGGGUAGUGGCUUACCAAGGCUUUGACGGGUAGCCGGCCUGAGAGGGUGACCGGCCACAUUGGGACUGAGAUACGGCCCAGACUCCUACGGGAGGCAGCAGUGGGGAAUAUUGCACAAUGGGCGGAAGCCUGAUGCAGCAACGCCGCGUGCGGGAUGACGGCCUUCGGGUUGUAAACCGCUUUCGCCUGUGACGAAGCGUGAGUGACGGUAAUGGGUAAAGAAGCACCGGCUAACUACGUG
This 468-nucleotide ribosomal RNA is filed under the name uncultured bacterium. RNAcentral's name for it is "partial 16S ribosomal RNA". It matches the Rfam family "Bacterial small subunit ribosomal RNA", at positions 28 to 507 of the family's 1533-position model. The record is from RNAcentral.